Molecule: unclassified non-coding RNA, 362 nt
Filed under: fungal sp.
Lineage: Eukaryota; Fungi
Description: partial internal transcribed spacer region
Rfam family: Eukaryotic small subunit ribosomal RNA (bases 1-46)
Source: RNAcentral
AAGUCGUAACAAGGUUUCCGUAGGUGAACCUGCGGAAGGAUCAUUAACACGUAUCCAAACGUUAAACAGCCCCGGAAAGUUUUUGAUUUGGGACCUCUGUGCGCGUGAGAAAAACUGACAGCGAUUCAUAGAAGCGGUAGGUCAAGUGACACGGCGUCCCCAAGUGACCAGUGAAUGAAAGUGUCGCUGGAGCGUCAAGGACGACUCUUCAAGAUUGCUAGAGGUCGACCACCGACCGGCUUCCGUGUAUACCGAGCUAACACCGCUCCCUUCCGAACCCCACUUUAUUGCCUUGCCUGUAAGCAUCCAUACGGAUGGGCAGGCCCCCCGAACAACUGUUAACAAUGGAUAUCUUGGUUCUC